UCGGGUAACUGGAUGAUCUCUCAGCUGCGCUUUCCUCCAUGUUGGUGCUGUUUCUUGGUUCUCAGGAAGCUUCACUUAAUUCAGUCAGGGUCUCAGCAGAAAACGGAUGGCUGUCUCACACUGGGAAACGUGAGGAGGGUUUAACAAGAGGACGGAGGAACAUGGUAUAAGUUCGACCUAGACGAGACCUCUCUGGACCCACUGAAGUUUGCUGGAAGGUGCCACCUAGUGGAACAUCAGAUGACCUGCCGCUUAGACAAAAAGAAACCUCAGGAAGGUUUUACAACGGAAAGCCGUCCAGCAGUGGUUCCCUCAAACUUGGCUGCAGCCACCCGGGGAUGGUGGAGUCCCUACCCUCCGAGGAUCUGAACCGGAGAAAUCCCGGGCCACCGAAGGGGAGCUCGGGAACUGAACCACUAGGCCACCAGCCAGCCUGCAUCCAGAGUUUUAAAAGGUACCUGAGGCAUUCUAUGUGCAGCUAAGGGUGAGACCACUGGGUAUAGACUAUCCAACGCUUGAUUUUUACAGAGGUGCCCACAGACAGGAGCCACUUCUUAAGAGUCUGACUCCUAGGA
Molecule: non-coding RNA, 575 nt
Organism: Equus caballus (horse)
Lineage: Eukaryota; Metazoa; Chordata; Mammalia; Perissodactyla; Equidae
Source: RefSeq, a predicted model, not a curated record